RNAcentral lists this ribosomal RNA (486 nucleotides) under uncultured bacterium. RNAcentral's name for it is "partial 16S ribosomal RNA". It matches the Rfam family "Bacterial small subunit ribosomal RNA", at positions 30 to 507 of the family's 1533-position model. The record is from RNAcentral.
AUUGAACGCUGGCGGCAUGCCUUACACAUGCAAGUCGAACGGCAGCACGGGUGCUUGCACCUGGUGGCGAGUGGCGAACGGGUGAGUAAUACAUCGGAACAUGUCCUGUAGUGGGGGAUAGCCCGGCGAAAGCCGGAUUAAUACCGCAUACGAUCUACGGAUGAAAGCGGGGGACCUUCGGGCCUAGCGCUAUAGGGUUGGCCGAUGGCUGAUUAGCUAGUUGGUGGGGUAAAGGCCUACCAAGGCGACGAUCAGUAGCUGGUCUGAGAGGACGACCAGCCACACUGGGACUGAGACACGGCCCAGACUCCUACGGGAGGCAGCAGUGGGGAAUGUUGGACAAUGGGCGAAAGCCUGAUCCAGCAAUGCCGCGUGUGUGAAGAAGGCCUUCGGGUUGUAAAGCACUUUUGUCCGGAAAGAAAUCCUUGGCCCUAAUACGGUCGGGGGAUGACGGUACCGGAAGAAUAAGCACCGGCUAACUACGUG